RNAcentral lists this ribosomal RNA (492 nucleotides) under uncultured bacterium. RNAcentral's name for it is "partial 16S ribosomal RNA". It matches the Rfam family "Bacterial small subunit ribosomal RNA", at positions 29 to 507 of the family's 1533-position model. The record is from RNAcentral.
AGUGAACGCUGGCGGUAGGCCUAACACAUGCAAGUCGAACGGCAGCACAGUAAGAGCUUGCUCUUACGGGUGGCGAGUGGCGGACGGGUGAGGAAUACAUCGGCAUCUACUUUUUCGUGGGGGAUAACGUAGGGAAACUUACGCUAAUACCGCAUACGACCUACGGGUGAAAGCAGGGGAUCUUCGGACCUUGCGCGAUUGAAUGAGCCGAUGUCGGAUUAGCUAGUUGGCGGGGUAAAGGCGCACCAAGGCGACGAUCCGUAGCUGGUCUGAGAGGAUGAUCAGCCACACGGGAGCUGAGACACGGUCCAGACUCCUACGGGAGGCAGCAGUGGGGAAUAUUGGACAAUGGGGGCAAGCCUGAUCCAGCCAUACCGCGUGGGUGAAGAAGGCCUUCGGGUUGUAAAGCCCUUUUGUUGGGAGAGAAAAGCAGCAGGUUAAGACCCCGCUGUUCUGACGGUACCCAAAGAAUAAGCACCGGCUAACUUCGUG